GUGAGCCUAGUGAUAGGAGACUAUCUAGCUUGGUUCGGAGAGCACUUGUUGGGUUUCAGAUUCAUUUUUUGCUAAAUGUUACGGCCUAAAUGCUGAACUAUUGACCCUGC
This is a non-coding RNA of Triticum urartu, 110 nucleotides long. The record is from Rfam. NCBI's taxonomy places the organism in Eukaryota, Viridiplantae, Streptophyta, Magnoliopsida, Poales, Poaceae.